This 1080-nucleotide ribosomal RNA is filed under the name Agrocybe arvalis. RNAcentral's name for it is "eukaryotic LSU rRNA". It matches the Rfam family "Eukaryotic large subunit ribosomal RNA", at positions 69 to 1137 of the family's 3401-position model. The record is from RNAcentral. Lineage: Eukaryota; Fungi; Basidiomycota; Agaricomycetes; Agaricales; Agrocybaceae.
CAAGGAUUCCCCUAGUAACUGCGAGUGAAGCGGGAAAAGCUCAAAUUUAAAAUCUGGCGGUCUUUGGCCGUCCGAGUUGUAAUCUAGAGAAGUGUUAUCCGCGCUGGACCGUGUACAAGUCUCCUGGAAUGGAGCGUCAUAGAGGGUGAGAAUCCCGUCUUUGACACGGACUGCCAGGGCUUUGUGAUGCGCUCUCAAAGAGUCGAGUUGUUUGGGAAUGCAGCUCAAAAUGGGUGGUAAAUUCCAUCUAAAGCUAAAUAUUGGCGAGAGACCGAUAGCGAACAAGUACCGUGAGGGAAAGAUGAAAAGAACUUUGGAAAGAGAGUUAAACAGUACGUGAAAUUGCUGAAAGGGAAACGCUUGAAGUCAGUCGCGUUGGCCGGGGAUCAACCUUGCUUUUGCUGGGUGUACUUUCCGGUCGACGGGUCAGCAUCAAUUUUGACCGUUGGAUAAAGUCUAGGGGAAUGUGGCAUCUUCGGAUGUGUUAUAGCCCUUGGUCGCAUACAACGAUUGGGAUUGAGGAACUCAGCACGCCGCAAGGCCGGGUACUUGUACCACGUUCGUGCUUAGGAUGCUGGCAUAAUGGCUUUAAUCGACCCGUCUUGAAACACGGACCAAGGAGUCUAACAUGCCUGCGAGUGUUUGGGUGGAAAACCCGAGCGCGUAAUGAAAGUGAAAGUUGAGAUCCCUGUCGCGGGGAGCAUCGACGCCCGGACCAGACCUUUUGUGACGGUUCCGCGGUAGAGCAUGUAUGUUGGGACCCGAAAGAUGGUGAACUAUGCCUGAAUAGGGUGAAGCCAGAGGAAACUCUGGUGGAGGCUCGUAGCGAUUCUGACGUGCAAAUCGAUCGUCAAAUUUGGGUAUAGGGGCGAAAGACUAAUCGAACCAUCUAGUAGCUGGUUCCUGCCGAAGUUUCCCUCAGGAUAGCAGAAACUCAUUUCAGAUUUAUGUGGUAAAGCGAAUGAUUAGAGGCCUUGGGGUUGAAACAACCUUAACCUAUUCUCAAACUUUAAAUAUGUAAGAACGAGCCGUCUCUUGAUUGGACCGCUCGGCGAUUGAGAGUUUCUAGUGGGCCAUUUU